GACGAACGCUGGCGGCGUGCUUAACACAUGCAAGUGGUGCGACGAACCAGGCUUCGGCCUGGGGCGAAGCCGCGAACGGGUGAGUAACACGUGGGCAAUCUGCCCCUUUGAUCGGGACAACCCGGGGAAACCCGGGCUAAUACCGAAUGAGGUGGCGACUCAUGAGAGUCGUCACGAAAGGAAGCUUCGGCCUCCGCGAAGGGAUGAGCCCGCGGCCCAUUAGCUUGUUGGUGGGGUAAUGGCCUACCAAGGCAACGAUGGGUAGCUGGUCUGAGAGGACGAUCUGCCACACUGGGACUGAGAUACGGCCUAGACUCCUACGGGAGGCAGCAGUGGGGAAUAUUGCACAAUGGGCGCAAGCCUGAUGCAGCGACGCCGCGUGAGGGAUGACGGCCUUCGGGUUGUAAACCUCUUUCAGCACCGACGAAGCGCAAGUGACGGUAGGUGCAGAAGAAGGACCGGCCAACUACGUGCCAGCAGCCGCGGUAA
Molecule: ribosomal RNA, 489 nt
Filed under: uncultured bacterium
Lineage: Bacteria
Description: partial 16S ribosomal RNA
Rfam family: Bacterial small subunit ribosomal RNA
Source: RNAcentral